This is a non-coding RNA of Salmo salar (Atlantic salmon), 88 nucleotides long. NCBI's taxonomy places the organism in Eukaryota, Metazoa, Chordata, Actinopteri, Salmoniformes, Salmonidae. The record is from Rfam.
CCCUGUGGCUCAGUUGGUAGAGCAUGGUGUUUGCAAUGCCAGCAUGGUGUGUGCAACACCAGGGUUGUGGGUUUGAUUCCCACAGGGG